ACGUAGGGUGCAAGCGUUAAUCGGAAUUACUGGGCGUAAAGCGUGCGCAGGCGGUUUUGUAAGUUUGUCGUGAAAGCCCCGGGCUCAACCUGGGAAUUGCGAUGAAGACUGCAAGGCUUGAAUCUGGCAGAGGGGGGUAGAAUUCCACGUGUAGCAGUGAAAUGCGUAGAGAUGCGGAGGAACACCGAUGGCGAAGGCAGUCCCCUGGGCCUGUACUGACGCUCAUGCACGAAAGCGUGGGGAGCAAACAGGA
This 253-nucleotide ribosomal RNA is filed under the name uncultured prokaryote. Its description in RNAcentral is "partial 16S ribosomal RNA". It matches the Rfam family "Bacterial small subunit ribosomal RNA", at positions 525 to 777 of the family's 1533-position model. The record is from RNAcentral.